Molecule: ribosomal RNA, 585 nt
Filed under: uncultured bacterium
Lineage: Bacteria
Description: bacterial SSU rRNA
Rfam family: Bacterial small subunit ribosomal RNA
Source: RNAcentral
CCUACGGGAGGCAGCAGUGGGGAAUUUUGGACAAUGGGGGCAACCCUGAUCCAGCCAUGCCGCGUGAGUGAAGAAGGCCUUCGGGUUGUAAAGCUCUUUCGGCCGGAACGAAAUCGCAUGGGUCAAUACCCUGUGUGGAUGACGGUACCGGAAGAAGAAGCACCGGCUAACUACGUGCCAGCAGCCGCGGUAAUACGUAGGGUGCGAGCGUUAAUCGGAAUUACUGGGCGUAAAGCGUGCGCAGGCGGCCGCGUAAGCCAGAGGUGAAAUCCCCGGGCUCAACCUGGGAAUGGCCUUUGGGACUGCGUGGCUCGAGUGCGGCAGAGGGGGGUGGAAUUCCUGGUGUAGCAGUGAAAUGCGUAGAUAUCAGGAGGAACACCGAUGGCGAAGGCAGCCCCCUGGGCCAGCACUGACGCUCAUGCACGAAAGCGUGGGGAGCAAACAGGAUUAGAUACCCUGGUAGUCCACGCCCUAAACGAUGACGACUAGUUGUUGGGGGAGCAAUCCCUUAGUAACGUAGCUAACGCGUGAAGUCGUCCGCCUGGGGAGUACGGUCGCAAGAUUAAAACUUAAAGGAAUUGACGG